CAUCACCUCAAAUGCCCUGCCAAUAGAAAUAAGCCAUUAGCCAGUGGAGAUUUUUUUUAUUAACCUGCGGGUGUCAAGGCCUGGGAUUAUAAUGAAUGGCAUGGAAAAGCACUUGCCAACACUUGGAUCAGAGAUUGUGCAGAUUUUUCUCUCGAGUUCUCGGAAUUCUUGAUUUUUGCUUGAAUUUCACGUCUAGUGCCAGAAGCUGAUUCUCAAGAUUGCUUUUUAGAAUAAGUGCCUUAUCGUUUUUUGCCUUUAGCUGCAUGCUGACAGAUCAUGAGGGACUCCUGAAUCCUCGGCUGCUCCUUUUCUCCAGAUUCAUUAUCUAGCUUGUAUUCUGAAGUAAUGGCAGACCGGUACUCCCAACUACAUGCUGCUACUUUAACACCUUCCAGUUCAGCUUCAGCCAGUCAGCUCAAUACUGUAUCGACAUGCCUUAGACACUUAGACUGACGCUUAGCAGGUGAGAACACUCUGAAUGCCUCAGUGACCCUGAGAAUCAGUAUUCAUGCACUAAGCUACCCUCAAAAUAAAACUGCACAAUUAAGUGCCAGUCAGUGCCAAACAAUACAUUGCAAUGUUCAAUACUUCUUGCUUGGGAAAAAGGUAAAAUCAUCCAGUACAAUAUUAUGGUUUCAUAUUGCAAGCAUGUUGCAUCAGACACCUGGGAAUCUGAUCAUGGUCGGUCUGACUUCAUCCACUGUUAGAUGUACUUGUUCUUUUAUAAUUGCCUUAUUGGAAGUUAUUAUUGACUGCUAAUUAUACUGUUGUACAUGCCUUUAUUCUGUACAAAUGGGCCACCGGUGGAAAUACUUUUUUUUUGUCUCAGAAGAGAAAUUCCCUGUGGAAAUAAGUUCAAAUAAAUUAAAAAUAUAAUAAGAAGCCAGAGUUUCUCAUGAGAAUGGCUAUGCUCCAUUCAUAAUUUAUGAAUUUAGUUGCUUUUUCCUUUAUUUCCUGCCAUUUAAGUGGCACAUUAAAUAUGUAUGUACAAUUCAGGCCAAAGGUUUUCAUCUCCUGUGGUUUUUGACUGGAAAAGGGGGGGUGUACCUCUCUUUCGCAAUAUAUUAACAAAAAAGCAUUAAAAUUAUUUAAAUGAAUCUUGCAACAAAACAAUUCAGUUCAGUUUUUUGUUUGCACUUGCUUCUCUUUUUCUCACUUUCUUCUCUUUUCUACCCAUCCUGAGGCGAAAUUCCACGUCAUGAAGAUUUUUGGCCCUUAAGAGACAAGAGGUCAACCCUGUGAGGAUCCAGACGCAUCUAGAGAUGUACCAGCUCCAGUAGAUUCCACUCCAUUAGCAUUUUGGACAUUUAAAGAGGAGAUGCCAACUCCAUGUGGCCUUUGAAGACAACAACCUCCUAAUCAAUAAACAAUUGUCAGACUAUAUCUGACAAUAGUAAGGACAUUAUUCAUAAUAACACCCUCUGGUGUUUAUAACAGUUUAUAAUCACACCCUCCAGUGUCACCCAAAUGAGGAUGAGGUUCCCUUUUAAGUCUGCGAGUUUUUCCUUGCCUAAAGUCACCCCUGUCACCUCAGACUUGCUCAUGAUGGAUAAAUACAAAUACAUUUAAAUAUGUCUAAUAUUAAUCUUGAAGUUGUGUAUAUUAUUCAUUGUAUAAUUUUCUUUUUGUACUAUAUUUCUUAUUUUCUGUAAAGCUGCUUUGAGACAAUGUCCAUUGUGACACGUGGUAUACAAAUAAAAUUGAUCUGAAUUGAA
This is a long non-coding RNA of Tachysurus fulvidraco (yellow catfish), 1715 nucleotides long. RefSeq lists it as uncharacterized. NCBI's taxonomy places the organism in Eukaryota, Metazoa, Chordata, Actinopteri, Siluriformes, Bagridae. The record is from RefSeq and is a predicted model, not a curated record. The transcript has 2 exons.